This 468-nucleotide ribosomal RNA is filed under the name uncultured bacterium. RNAcentral's name for it is "partial 16S ribosomal RNA". It matches the Rfam family "Bacterial small subunit ribosomal RNA", at positions 28 to 507 of the family's 1533-position model. The record is from RNAcentral.
GACGAACGCUGGCGGCGUGCUUAACACAUGCAAGUCGAACGGAAAGGCCCUGCUUUUGUGGGGUUCUCGAGUGGCGAACGGGUGAGUAACACGUGAGUAACCUGCCCUUGACUUUGGGAUAACUUCAGGAAACUGGGGCUAAUACCGGAUAGGAGCUCCUGCUGCAUGGUGGGGGAUGGAAAGUUUCGGCGGUUGGGGAUGGACUCGCGGCUUAUCAGCUUGUUGGUGGGGUAGUGGCUUACCAAGGCUUUGACGGGUAGCCGGCCUGAGAGGGUGACCGGCCACAUUGGGACUGAGAUACGGCCCAGACUCCUACGGGAGGCAGCAGUGGGGAAUAUGGCACAAUGGGCGGAAGCCGGAGGCAGCAACGCCGCGUGCGGGAUGACGGCCUUCGGGUUGUAAACCGCUUUCGCCUGUGACGAAGCGUGAGUGACGGUAAUGGGUAAAGAAGCACCGGCUAACUACGUG